AAGACUACAGGAUUCCCCCUAGUAACUGCGAGUGAAGCGGGAAAAGCUCAAAUUUAAAAUCUGAUAGCUUCUUGAAGCUGUCCGAGUUUGUANUUUAGAGAAGUGUUACCCGUGCUGGACCGUGUAUAACUCUUCUGGAAUGGAGCAUCAUUGAGGGUGAGAAUCCCGUCUUUGACACGGAACUGCCAGGACAUUGUGGUAUGCUCUCGACGAGUCNAGUUGUUUGGGAAUGCACCUCAAAAUGGGUGGUAAAUUCCAUCUAAAGCUAAAUAUUGGCGAGAGACCGAUAGCGAACAAGUACCGUGAGGGGAAGAUGAAAAGAACUUUGGAAAGAGAGUUAAACAGUACGUGAAAUUGCUGAAAGGGAAACGCUUGAAGUCAGUCGCGUUGACUGGAAAUCAGCCUGGCUCUUUUGCUUGGUGUACUUUCUAGUUUGACGGGUCAACAUCAGUUUUGACUGCUGGAUAAAGGUUGAAGGAAUGNGGCUCCUUUAGGAGUGUUAUAGACUUUGGCUGUAUACAGUGGUUGGGACUGANGAACUCACCACGCCUUUACGGGCCGGGUUUUAAACCACGUACNUGCUUAGGAUGUUGGCAUAAUGGCUUUAAUCGACCCGUCUUGAAACACGGACCAAGGAGUCUAACAUGCAUGCGAGUGUUUGGGUGGAAAACCCAUGCGCGUAAUGAAAGUGAAAGUUAACAUCUCUGUCAUGGAGAGCACUGACGCCCA
Molecule: ribosomal RNA, 729 nt
Filed under: uncultured fungus
Lineage: Eukaryota; Fungi
Description: LSU rRNA
Rfam family: Eukaryotic large subunit ribosomal RNA
Source: RNAcentral